UUAUGGGGUAGCGCUGGGGACAGGUGGCCGGGCCAAGUUCCGGGGGUCCUCCAUGAGAGUCGUGGAUGGGCCCCGCUGUCGGCUG
Unclassified non-coding RNA from Bison bison bison, 85 nucleotides. The record is from Ensembl. NCBI's taxonomy places the organism in Eukaryota, Metazoa, Chordata, Mammalia, Artiodactyla, Bovidae.